GGCCUUCCCUUUGCUCACCAAAGGCAGGGGCCAUUCAGGCUAGGGAGGGGGAAGAAACCCCGUUGCAUAGCAAAGACAGGCAGAGGGUGAAUCGCUGACUGGGGGAAACAGGCACCAAAAGGCAAGAGAAAGGGACUGCUCAGCCUGGAGAAAACAUGACUCAGAGGGGUCUCAGCAAUGUUCAGAAAUACCUGAAGGGUGUAAAGACAACUGAGCCAGAAUCUUCCCAGUGGUGUCCAGUGACAAGAGGCAAUGGCACAAAUUCAAACACAAUAAAUUCUGUCUGAA
Molecule: long non-coding RNA, 288 nt
Organism: Pezoporus occidentalis (night parrot)
Lineage: Eukaryota; Metazoa; Chordata; Aves; Psittaciformes; Psittacidae
Exons: 2
Source: RefSeq, a predicted model, not a curated record